Molecule: long non-coding RNA, 6786 nt
Organism: Equus caballus (horse)
Lineage: Eukaryota; Metazoa; Chordata; Mammalia; Perissodactyla; Equidae
Source: Ensembl
CUGAAUUUUAUGUCAGGUUUUAUUAGUAUGCUUUAGAAUCUAGAUUUUAUUUCUUGAAAGGACAGUCUAGAAAUUCCUCUACACCUAAGCUGAUUUUCUUUCUUUUGGACAGCAUGAUGUGUUGUGUAACAUGUUAAAACAGUUGUUUUCUAGUGUAUUUUCCAAUAUGAAGAUGGAAAUAUGAAUAUGACAUCAUAAAAAUGUAGACCUUGAGGAGUGGAUGAAGUGUCUAGAUUUCAUCCCCAGAAUAUAGGACGUAAUUACAUAUAUCUAAUUACGUAUAUCUACAGUAUCUUGUUACUGACAAAUAUGUUUUAGAGACCUCCUAACAGUAAAAUAAUUCUAUUAAAUUUCUUUUUUAUAAAGAUCUCAUUGAUCUUUUAUUCAACAAAUAUUUUGUGCCUACUCUUUGCCAAGUUACGUGCUAGACUGAGCACAGAGAAAUACAGAGGCCCCUUUCAAGUUGCUGUCAGUCUAAUAGAAUAAGAUAAAUAUGAACAUAAAUCAUUACAUAUAACAGCUAAAGGAACUGUGAACUAAAUGCAAUAGUAAAACAAACAGUGAAUUCGUCAACUCUGAUAGAGUUAAUCCAGAAAAUGCUUCAUAGAGGAAGAGAUGCUUACACUAGGUUUUGAAUGAUCAGUAGUUCUUAAGGUGGGAAAAAAGGCAUUAUUUUAGGAAAACUAGCAGGAUCUGAAGAGCAAAUCUGCCUGAAAUUAACAUGGAGUAUGGGGAAAUUCUAAGUUUUUAUGGUUAGGGCAAAGGUUAUAUGUAGAUGUUUGGCUAGAGAAGAUAUUGAAGAAAUAAACCAAGGCCAAACAGUGAGAACUACUAUCAUGAGCUUGGACUUUUAUCCUUUUUGGUGACUUUGGAAAAUAGAGACAUCAAAGGAUUUUACUAUGAGAAUUGCAGGAUAAGAUUGGCAUUUUAGAUUUUUUUCCUAGCAAAUUAGAGAAAAUAUUGUGAAGGUAGGUCUGAAUGGGAAGUUAGAAGACCAAAUAUAAACAUUUUUAAACAUCCAGGAGAGAGAAAGAAGUAAGGCAGCUGAUGACUAGACGGCAGAAAAGGAAGAGAUGGCAAAGAAGGAGACGCAACUGAACCGAGAAUCCAGACCCCUUGUGUCAACAUGACUUAACCAUUUAUUCCAGGAAGUUCUUUACCAGGAAGGGAAUGCUGCAGACCAAGCAUUACUUUCAUUUUUGCCCAUUUGCAUCAGGAAGUCCUUACACACAAACUUAUUUGAGCAGUUUGCUCAUCUGGGCGAACAGAACUCCCAUUAAGAUAGCAUUUUGCUCACCUGGACAAACAUCCUGCUGCUCCGGUACCAGUUUGCUUUCAAACACUCCUCAGAAUUCUUGCCAUAUCGAGUCCGUCCAUCCUGAAGUAUUACAUCAUGAAUUUGGCCCGGUUCCAGUCAAUUCCCCAUCUUGAAGAGCCCACCUAACACCACUUGAACCUAGACUCCAGAAGCGGGGCGUGAGUGGCAGAGCAGAGACGGGCUGCCUUGUGGCCAGGGCAACUGCGCCGCCGCUAGGAUGGCAGAACUCUUCAGGAAGAGGGCUUGGCUGCCCCCUCAUCUCUGGCCCAGCGAGCACCAGAUCAGUCCCAUUACAGGCACCCAGAGGCCACUGGCCUGCUGGCCGCUCUUCAAGGGACAGUGGCCUUUCCCAGGAAGGAGUGGGAAGAAAGCCAGCCUGUCUGCUCGAGAGCCAAGUCUGUCAUCCCUACUCAGAAGGCAUAGGCAGAGCCAUCAGCCUUGGAGGCAACAGGGGCAUCUAUCCAAACCCCACCUGGAACAGGCUGGGGGUGCUCAGGGGCUCCAGGAGGGGCGGGGCUCCAGGCCGUCAGAAGCCGUGCCCGGGCUGAGGGCCAACGUGCACAGGCAGGCUGUGCUCCAGGGGCAGAUGGAUGGGGGCAAAGUUCUACUUGUCUUGCGCGUUGGGCAGAAGGGGCAUGUGGGGGUGGAAGGGAAGGACAAAAACUUACUGGGGGAUCUGCAGCUGUGCAGGCUCUGCAGGACGGGCCUCAGGCAGGCUUUGACCCUCUGGACUUUCUCUGGAGGCUUCUCCAAGGGGCCCAAAGCAUUUGAAGGUGUUCUCUGAAAAGGAGAUGGGAUUUAGUAGAGAAACAGCUAAAGCCAACCAUGCUUGGAUCUGGUUUGGGACCAGGGCUCCAUAUCCUGACCAUGGUCCCACCUGCCCGAGCUGGGGGCCUGAGAGCCUGGAGCACGAGGCAAGGCCAGGAACCUCUAACCUUCAGCAUCAUUCUUACCUGUGGACACAGGAGGUGUGGUCAGGCCACAACAAGGCCGAUUAAAGCACAAAACGCAGCACACACAGACAGCAACCAUCACCAAGGACAAAAUCAUACUUCUGAGUGAAUACUACAGUCUACAGUGAUCACCUUGGAAGGCAGCGUGUUAACCAGCUCAGAACAGGUGGAGCUUCUGUGAGACACUUUCCUUCAGAGCCAGGGCCCGGAGGGCCACUCACAGAAACUCCGUUUCACUCCCUGUAACCUCAGAAGGGUCAGGGUGGCUCCCCAUCUUUUCAGUCUGGUUUGGCUUCUACUUGCUUCCCAAGCUCAAACCCACCCCUUGAGACCGCCUUGCCAUCAAGGAGAUGCUGAAGCUGUAUCUAAGCUUUUCUGGCCUUUCCCACAGGAAGCUGGACACACAGGUAGAGUAUGUCUGUGGCCACCUGAGGGAUAGCACUUCCUGGGUUGUCCCUGGCUGGCUGGAGAGCCAGGACCUCCAGGGAGGGCCAGCAGUGGGGUCCCCUCCUCCCCUGAGCACAUGGAGUUCACAGGCCUGUGCUAGGGGAGCACUUGCCUCUAUUCUUUCUUUUCUGUUCCUCUUCAGCCUCCUUCUGGAUUUCCUCAAUUGGCCUCUCAUCAUCUUCCUAGAAGAAGAGCAAUAAGACAAUGAGCUUCUUUCAACCAGCUCCAUGUGGUGCCAAGAUGCCCCGGGACACAGAGGAGGCUGGCUUGCUGCUGGCCAGCACACCAUCACUCCCAGUUCCCUCAGACUCUUCCUCCUCCAUCACUGGAUGGUGUUCCCAUGAGGAUCCAUCUGAGAGGCUGGGACAGAGGUGCAGGUUCUGUGCAUGGCGGGUGGCCAUCCAGGGGCUGGGCCGAGAGCCUGUGUUGUUCACUCUGCUGUAGGGGAAGCAGAAGAAGGGGCAGACUGACAACCCAAGGGCUUGGGCAGGGCGUGAGUCUGCGGCGGGCAGGGCCUGAGGAGUUUCAGAUUCUGAGUCUACAAACUCUAAGCACAGCAGCCCUUUUGUGCAGAGUCCAGCAGGGUCUUGCUGACUCCCUGAACUGAGCUGGACAAAUGUUCCCUUGGGGCUGCUGGGCCCCGAGGCUGGUCUGUAGCUCCUGGACAGCCAGUGGGCUGUGGACGCAGAAGAUCCUGCCAGCACAACAGUGGCCUCACCCAGGUCUCGGGGACAGGAGGAAGGGCACAGGAAUUUAACAACAAGCCCCUACAGACCUUGCUGUCUCCCCUCCCCCAACUCAAUACUUGGUAGGCCUGAGACACUUAUUGGCAAUUCAAAUUUGGAUGGUCUCAGCCUGGGGACAGGAGCCAGAGAAGUGCUCUGGGCACAGGCAGCUGUGUGGGCUUCACCAGGGAAGCUCUGGGGGCCACGCUGGGCAAGCAGGCGGCAGGGUCUGUGACACAUGGAGCUCCCACAUCUCCACCUGCCCCAGUAACCGUGGUGGGGGGACUGGGCUGCUGGCCUGGGACAGACCACCCCAACUGUGGCUGCUUCGUGUAAUGUGCUAGAGCUUGACCCUCUCCUCAGAGGCCCUGCCUGCAAAGGGGCUUCCCAGUUUAUCUGGGGACUGCAAGACACUCACCAGAUGGAAAACACCCACCAGGAUGGUGUACAUCUCUGAUGCUGCACAGAGCAGCUGACCACCUGCUGACCAGCAUGGCGGUGAAGGCCUGUGGGACAAGAGUCCACCUGCAGGGCUGAGGCUCAGUGAGGAGCAGAGUGGGGCACUGCAACCAAAACCUGACCGCAUCAACUGCACUGAUUCUAACCAAGUGACAGCCAGGCUUGGUCUGUUUCCUGGGGUCUUCUGGGUGCUUCUCCAGGAGUGAGGAGCAGCCAGGCUGGGAAGCAGUGUGGAGAUGGCAGGAGGGCACAAGCAGGCUUCAAUGCUGCAAGAAGCCUGCUGGACACACGCAUUUCCCCAGAUGAGGCAUCAGAGCCGACCCACGUGGCCAGGGGGGUUCUGGGCUGCAGCAAUAUCAGAGAUAACUCUGGAUAUUUCAUGCUGCUCUGAGGCUCUGACUGGCUGGUGACAUCCACGGAACUUGUGAGAUGUGGAUGGAGGGCCACAGAGGGGAGAACAUGAGCUGGAAGGAAUGCCUGGAAAUCCUCAGACCAGAGGACAGUGUGGCAUCCCCAUCGUGGGGCUGAGCAAUGGAGAGUUUGCAUAUUUAUUUAGCAUGUUAUUAAUGUCACAGCCAAGAUAAUAAUGACUUCACUACACAGUUAUAAACCCUCAAUGAUUCUGGGGUCAUGGAUUUCAUCCAGUCAGUGAGUAUCGGACACCUAUUCUGUGCUACACACUGUUCUAAGUUCACUGGUUAAACUUUUGAUCAGCAAUAAAACUAGAAGUCACACUGAUGGAAUGAGUAAAUAGCUAUGUGACAUAUUCCCUUUAUUUGGUGGAUGAAAAAAUUUUAGGACUGGAGACUGUGGGCUCCAUAGCAACAGCAGGAGACCCUAUUAAAUUUGCUUACAUUCUCCAGGCCUCAGAUGCCAAAUGACAGUCCUGACUCAAUCAUCUCAAGGCUUCCUUCCAACUCUGACAUUUGGAAAUUUUUAUCAUACACGCAAGUCUUUUUAAGCCUCACUUGGCUAGGUGUUCUGAGCAAUGCAAGGGGAAGAGGAGAUGGGACAAGGGUUAAGUUCCCAUCAGAGAAUCACACACCUGGGAGGAAUCCUGGUGGGCAUGAUGUUCAAAUCCCAGGUAAUGUGUACAAAUUCUCUAUAAAAACCCCAAGAUGUGGUCAUCUAGCCUCUUUGCAAACACUCCAAAUGAGAGAACUCAUUACUCUAUGAAGUGAUCACUAAGCCAAUCAACACAAAGGGCCCCAAUAAGUCAACAGGGUUUGGUGGACACAGUCUGAAGUCUCCACGUGACUGUCAAGAUAAAUUCUACCAAUUACCUAGAGUAGGAGCUGGCAAACCUCUUCAUUUUGGUGCCAGUGGGAGACUUAGGAAAAAAGCUUUUUAAAAAAGGAAAGUGAUCAAGAAAACUGGAAAGUGGGAGAGCAGUGGCUCUACACCACUCACUGUGACCCAGGGCAAGCCCUUGAACAUCUGCGUCUCAGUACCCAUCUGUAAAAUGGGUUGUUGUAAGGACUGAAUGAGCUGACGUGUGCAAAGGACUCAGCACACAGUAAGCACUCAUGACUAAAGCAGGAAAGUCAUGAAAAAUGGCAGAGACAAAGAUUUUAGAAAGAUUACAAGUUUCAAGAAAAAGCAGUAUUGAUUGGCAGAUUUUACCAACAUUUCUCUCAGUGGCUUCUUUACGGUAUGAGGGACAGGAUUCCUGACUCUGGCCAUUUAUUAAUUAUAAAUACAUCACCACCACCUCCAUUGCCGCCACCACCACCACCUCCACCACCAUCUUCACCAUCACUGCUAUCACCACCAUCACCUUCAUAUUUAGCUUGACAUAAAUAAAGAUGGUUUCAUAUGGAAAUAUUUAGAUACAUGAGUAUAUACAUGGCUCUCCUUGCUCUUUCAGCUGAAAGGGCCUAGAAGCAACAAUACUCUAGUAGCAACAAGCACACCAAGUGCCCAGAUACUGGUUUCUAAUACUAUUCCCCACUAGAACAAACCAGAGCUCCUUGGAGAAAUGGAGGAUUUGAGGACUGGGACAGGAAAUAUACAAGAUGAUCCUGGAGCAUCAUGUAGAGAAAGUAAGUGCUAAAAACAAAACCAAAAAAUAAUAAGGGAGUAUAUCAAAUUUCUGGAAACAGGACCCAACUGAAAGAGCUCCCAAUGUUCAAAGCUAGAAAGAUUUGAGCGAUAACAUAAAUAAAGCAGUAUUGAAUUUUAACCUAAAGCAUAAAAUAAAUACCCACGAGUCCAUAUUGAUGCAAACAAAUGAUUGGGUAAAUUAAUAAAUUGGGGAGAAGAGAGAAAUCUCCCAUUCAGAAGAAUUUCAAAUCAUUGAAGUAAAUACUUCACCCUUAGCAGGACAGAGUAUAACUCCUCAUUCCUUAAGUGUGGGCUGCACAUAGGGAUUCUGCCCACAUAGCGGAGUGUGGGAAGGUGAGGGAAAAGAGGACGCUGACAGCAGAGACCUGCUGAGCACUGCCUCAGGCCAACUGUCAAGCUCGGCUCACCAUGUCACACAGAUCGUUUCCUUGAUGUGAGGUGCUGAGAAUGACAAUUUAUGUCACUGGUCUUCCUCUUGAAAACCUAUAACUCAGUCUAAUCAUGACAAAAACAUUAGACAUGCCAAUAGAGGGACAUUCAGUAAAAUAUCUCACCAGUACUUUUCAAAACUGUCAAGGUCACCAAAAACACGGAAAGUCUGAGAAACUGUCAAAACUAAGAGGAGUCUAAGGAGACAUGAAGACUAAAUGUCAUGUAGUGUCUUUGUUGCAAUCUUGGGACAGAAAAAGACAUUAGGAGAAAACAGAACAUUUGAGUAAAGUGUGAACUUGAUAACAAUUUAUCAACAUUGGUUCAUGAAUUGUGAUGAAUGAGCCAUACUAUCCUAAAGUGUUGACAAUACGGGAACCUGGGUGUGGAG